UAUCCUUAUUUGCCAGCACGUCAUGGUGGGAACUAUAAGGAGACUGCCGGUGAUAAACCGGAGGAAGGCGGGGACGACGUCAAGUCAUCAUGGCCCUUACGACCAGGGCUACACACGUGCUACAAUGGGAAGGACAAAGGGUUGCUAAGCCGCGAGGUGGUGCUAAUCUCAUAAACCUUUUCGUAGUCCGGAUCGGAGUCUGCAACUCGACUUCGUGAAGUCGGAAUCGCUAGUAAUCGCGAAUCAGCAUGUCGCGGUGAAUACGUUC
This 268-nucleotide ribosomal RNA is filed under the name unidentified gamma proteobacterium groupJ. RNAcentral describes it as "partial 16S small subunit ribosomal RNA". It matches the Rfam family "Bacterial small subunit ribosomal RNA", at positions 1106 to 1373 of the family's 1533-position model. The record is from RNAcentral. Lineage: Bacteria; Pseudomonadati; Pseudomonadota; Gammaproteobacteria.